AGGAUUGAUGGGGUGAUAAAUGCAGCAAGCUUGAAAAGAGCAAUUUUACAAGACAUUCGGAUGCCUUCAUUGUGAGGGUUUUUUUCCACUGACAACAACCGUUGUAUCCUCGUUCUGUACAAAGCAUUAUUCUAUGUCUAAAUACGCUUUGGAGAAUUUACGGUUCAUGUGGAAAAAAAAAUGUCUUUGGAGCGCGUGAACGGACCACGAUUCUAACAUGAUUUACAAAAAUGAAAGGUGCUGAAGCCACCAUGUGUUUCAAAUCACUUUCUUUUGGCUCCCUCUCACAUUUGCGCUCCCUAAACGCUCCAGAAAAUAAUCGAGUGUUUCCCCCCCCCUCAACUUGCUGGAAAUGACCUAACGACUGCCAGGAAGAGGAAUGUGAAGCAUUCCCUGGAGCUGUCCGUGACGUCAGUACGUUGAGGAGGCCCCAGCGCUUCCUCCAGCCUGUAUAUUCCAAAGUGCACUCCCAACUCCCAACAGCUGGAGUCGACCACUGCCUCGCUCCCACUCCAAAACAAGCCUCAAACAUACCACGGCCCCCGCCUAUCUGGACUCCAUGUGAGUGACUGCGAGGCGCAUCUGGGCCUUUGGUGCUGAUAUGGGGAUAACGGGGCAAAAAAAGAAAGAAAAAAAAAAGAAAAAUCAGGACUUUACACACAAAAGUCACAGCUGUUGUAUCUAAGCCUGAAUUUGCACUGAAGGUCAACGUGUCCAAUUCUGAUUAAAUGCCUACAUCCAAUUUUAGCAUUUUCAUUUGCAUGCAACACAUAUCCUACACAAACACAUGAAGUGCCCCACAUGCGCUGACUCCCAAAUUGCAUAUCAAUAACUAACAAGCGUCAACACUGGACUGUGAAAACACAGAUGUCAACAUUAAUACACACAUACCACAAAUCUUAAUGUUGAUUGAACGCUCUAAAUUGUCCCUAGUUGUGAUCGUGAACGUGAAUGGUUGCUCUUCUCUGUGUGCCCUGCAAUUGGCUGGCAACCAGUUCAGGGUGUAUCCCCCGCCUACGGGCGGAAGACAGCUGGGAUAGGCUCCAGCACGCCCACUCGGAUAAUGGAUGGAUGGAUAAACGGUCUAUUCGAGUCAGGAGAUCAAAUACUCAACAUUCAGUACCUGCUCGUUAGCAGCUAAAAUGGACAGCUGUGAUAACAUAAACAUUCAACCCAACUAGCGAGCAUUACAGAUGAGCUGCUGUCACAAGGGUACCAGAUAGUUAAAUAUUCUGACCCAACUAUCUGUCUCCAUAAAUAAUAGAGCUGGUAUUUCACUGUCUUAUACCUACUGGCCAUGUAUCACAAUCAUUGGGGUGAAAA
This is a long non-coding RNA of Hippocampus comes (tiger tail seahorse), 1323 nucleotides long. RefSeq lists it as uncharacterized. The record is from RefSeq and is a predicted model, not a curated record. NCBI's taxonomy places the organism in Eukaryota, Metazoa, Chordata, Actinopteri, Syngnathiformes, Syngnathidae. The transcript has 2 exons.